GUCAGCGUGGCCGAGUGGUUAAGGCGUCAGUCUUGAAAACUGAUACGGUUCCCGUUCGCAGGUUCGAAUCCUGUCGCUGACG
Molecule: transfer RNA, 82 nt
Filed under: Vittaforma corneae ATCC 50505
Lineage: Eukaryota; Fungi; Microsporidia; Nosematidae
Description: tRNA-Ser (TGA) (tRNA-Ser-TGA-1-1)
Rfam family: tRNA
About the family: Transfer RNA (tRNA) molecules are approximately 80 nucleotides in length. Their secondary structure includes four short double-helical elements and three loops (D, anti-codon, and T loops). Further hydrogen bonds mediate the characteristic L-shaped molecular structure. tRNAs have two regions of fundamental functional importance: the anti-codon, which is responsible for specific mRNA codon recognition, and the 3' end, to which the tRNAs corresponding amino acid is attached (by aminoacyl-tRNA synthetases). tRNAs cope with the degeneracy of the genetic code in two manners: having more than one tRNA (with a specific anti-codon) for a particular amino acid; and 'wobble' base-pairing, i.e. permitting non-standard base-pairing at the 3rd anti-codon position.
Source: Rfam by way of RNAcentral